Molecule: ribosomal RNA, 259 nt
Filed under: uncultured bacterium
Lineage: Bacteria
Description: partial 16S ribosomal RNA
Rfam family: Bacterial small subunit ribosomal RNA
Source: RNAcentral
GAGAAGCAAGACCGUGAGGUGGAGCAAAACUCAAAAACUUAGUCUCAGUUCGGAUUGUAGGCUGAAACUCGCCUACAUGAAGCUGGAGUUGCUAGUAAUCGCGAAUCAGCAUGUCGCGGUGAAUACGUUCCCGGGCCUUGUACACACCGCCCGUCACACCAUGAGAGUUGGCAAUACCCAACGUACGUGAUCUAACCCGCAAGGGAGGAAGCGUCCUAAGGUAGGGUCAACGAUUGGGGUGAAGUCGUAACAAGGUAGC